Molecule: transfer RNA, 71 nt
Filed under: Thermoleophilaceae bacterium
Lineage: Bacteria; Bacillati; Actinomycetota; Thermoleophilia; Thermoleophilales; Thermoleophilaceae
Also listed under: 1 other name
Description: tRNA-Gln
Rfam family: tRNA
About the family: Transfer RNA (tRNA) molecules are approximately 80 nucleotides in length.
Source: RNAcentral
UGGGGAGUGGUCUAAUGGCAAGACGCGUGGUUUUGGUCCACGAAAUGGGGGUCCGAUUCCUCCCUCCCCAG